UACGAAGGGGGCUAGCGUUAUCCGGAAUCAUUGGGUUUAAAGGGUCCGUAGGCGGUUUAAUAAGUCAGUGGUGAAAGCCCAUCGCUCAACGGUGGAACGGCCAUUGAUACUGUUAGACUUGAAUUAUUAGGAAGUAACUAGAAUAUGUAGUGUAGCGGUGAAAUGCUUAGAUAUUACAUGGAAUACCAAUUGCGAAGGCAGGUUACUACUAAUGGAUUGACGCUGAUGGACGAAAGCGUGGGUAGCGAACAGG
RNAcentral lists this ribosomal RNA (253 nucleotides) under uncultured bacterium. Its description in RNAcentral is "partial 16S ribosomal RNA". It matches the Rfam family "Bacterial small subunit ribosomal RNA", at positions 524 to 776 of the family's 1533-position model. The record is from RNAcentral.